Molecule: ribosomal RNA, 253 nt
Filed under: uncultured bacterium
Lineage: Bacteria
Description: partial 16S ribosomal RNA
Rfam family: Bacterial small subunit ribosomal RNA
Source: RNAcentral
UACAGAGGGGGCAAGCGUUGUUCGGAAUUACUGGGCGUAAAGGGCGCGUAGGCGGCCUUCUAAGUCGAACGUGAAAUCCCCGGGCUCAACCCGGGAACUGCGUCCGAUACUGGAAGGCUUGAAUCCGGGAGAGGGAUGUGGAAUUCCAGGUGUAGCGGUGAAAUGCGUAGAUAUCUGGAGGAACACCGGUGGCGAAGGCGACAUCCUGGACCGGUAUUGACGCUGAGGCGCGAAAGCCAGGGGAGCGAACGGG